Molecule: ribosomal RNA, 1324 nt
Filed under: Citrobacter freundii
Lineage: Bacteria; Pseudomonadati; Pseudomonadota; Gammaproteobacteria; Enterobacterales; Enterobacteriaceae
Description: partial 23S ribosomal RNA
Rfam family: Bacterial large subunit ribosomal RNA
Source: RNAcentral
GAAAUCGUACCCCAAACCGACACAGGUGGUCAGGUAGAGAAUACCAAGGCGCUUGAGAGAACUCGGGUGAAGGAACUAGGCAAAAUGGUGCCGUAACUUCGGGAGAAGGCACGCUGAUAUGUAGGUGAAGUGAUUUACUCAUGGAGCUGAAAUCAGUCGAAGAUACCAGCUGGCUGCAACUGUUUAUUAAAAACACAGCACUGUGCAAACACGAAAGUGGACGUAUACGGUGUGACGCCUGCCCGGUGCCGGAAGGUUAAUUGAUGGGGUUAUCCGUAAGGAGAAGCUCUUGAUCGAAGCCCCGGUAAACGGCGGCCGUAACUAUAACGGUCCUAAGGUAGCGAAAUUCCUUGUCGGGUAAGUUCCGACCUGCACGAAUGGCGUAAUGAUGGCCAGGCUGUCUCCACCCGAGACUCAGUGAAAUUGAACUCGCUGUGAAGAUGCAGUGUACCCGCGGCAAGACGGAAAGACCCCGUGAACCUUUACUAUAGCUUGACACUGAACACUGGUCCUUGAUGUGUAGGAUAGGUGGGAGGCUUUGAAGUGUGGACGCCAGUCUGCAUGGAGCCAUCCUUGAAAUACCACCCUUUAAUGGCUGGUGUUCUAACGUGGACCCGUUACCCGGGUUGCGGACAGUGUCUGGUGGGUAGUUUGACUGGGGCGGUCUCCUCCUAAAGAGUAACGGAGGAGCACGAAGGUUAGCUAAUCCUGGUCGGACAUCAGGAGGUUAGUGCAAAGGCAUAAGCUAGCUUGACUGCGAGAGUGACGGCUCGAGCAGGUGCGAAAGCAGGUCUUAGUGAUCCGGUGGUUCUGAAUGGAAGGGCCAUCGCUCAACGGAUAAAAGGUACUCCGGGGAUAACAGGCUGAUACCGCCCAAGAGUUCAUAUCGACGGCGGUGUUUGGCACCUCGAUGUCGGCUCAUCACAUCCUGGGGCUGAAGUAGGUCCCAAGGGUAUGGCUGUUCGCCAUUUAAAGUGGUACGCGAGCUGGGUUUAGAACGUCGUGAGACAGUUCGGUCCCUAUCUGCCGUGGGCGCUGGAGAAUUGAGGGGGGCUGCUCCUAGUACGAGAGGACCGGAGUGGACGCAUCACUGGUGUUCGGGUUGUCAUGCCAAUGGCAUUGCCCGGUAGCUAAAUGCGGAAGAGAUAAGUGCUGAAAGCAUCUAAGCACGAAACUUGCCCCGAGAUGAGUUCUCCCUGAGACUUUAAGUCUCCUGAAGGAACGUUGAAGACGACGACGUUGAUAGGUCGGGUGUGUAAGUGUAGCGAUACAUUGAGCUAACCGAUACUAAUGAACCGUGAGGCUUAACCUUACAACGCCGAAG